Ornithodoros turicata is the source of this 983-nucleotide long non-coding RNA. RefSeq lists it as uncharacterized. The transcript is spliced from 2 exons. The record is from RefSeq and is a predicted model, not a curated record. Lineage: Eukaryota; Metazoa; Arthropoda; Arachnida; Ixodida; Argasidae.
CACAGCACAGUGCCAGGGUAGAUUGUGUUUAUUAUGUGCGAAAAGCGCUAGCAACGAAAGGAGUAUGCCACAAAUAAACACCUCAGCAGCCCUGCUUACAGUACAGCUACAACAGCCUUGUCAUGACGAAAAAGAAUGCAGUGGCAAGGACACACAUCCUUCACGAUAUCUUGAAGUGAUGCGAAGGUUCCCGACUGUAUUGUGUAUGCCAUGGUUUGCCAACUUGACUACCCUUGUGCAUCAGCAAAAGACCAAAGAGUAUCAGCACUGUUCCAAGCCACCACAGCAGUGUCAGACGUUCACCAAACAAGGAAAUGUUACUUGUAUCCAAGGUGAAAAUUUUUGAUGUCAGGGGCGCAAGUAUAAGAAGAGUAAACAAACAUAUAUGGAACAGGAACAAGCAUCAGCACCUGAAACGAUAUGGACUUGCCUACCACAACAAUGAUGUGUCCUCAUCAGCGCUACAAUAACGACCAAAUGAUAAAACCACAGGAAAGUAAGCCAUCAUGUGCCGAUAGGAAUGUAAUUCCAUGAAAACAGAGUGCCAGUAUCGCAGCAGUCAUGGCAUACUUGUUUACGAUUUUUUUUCUCUUGAAGUCGGUGCAUACCUGUGACACCUGCAAUGCAGCAUGCCGUUUUGCAUGAAAUAAUCCGGGACUAAGAGAGCAAUUAAUGGGUUGUCACCAAAAGUGAUAGGUAUAGUGGCAGUCAAAGGUAGAGGGCAUUAGUAGAGAGUACAUGUCCAGCUCAAAAUUAUAGGUACACUAUGGCACUAGUCAUAUUCCUGCACAAGUAAAGCCCAUCAACUUGAGGCCACCUUUGAUCAGGGACGGCCAGCAUGGAGUGUGAUGGUCCCUGAAAACUUGAAACUGCUUCCCAUAUACGUAAGGACUGAUAUGAGUCUUAAACAUUAUUUUUUGCUAGUAGAGUAGUUUUCCUCCACUAAUACAAGUGUUCUGCUAGCAUACAGAAGGAGAACUAAA